GAUGAACGCUGGCGGCGUGCCUAAUACAUGCAAGUCGAGCGAACAGAUAGGAGCUUGCUCCUUUGAAGUUAGCGGCGGACGGGUGAGUAACACGUGGGUAACCUACCUAUAAGACUGGGAUAACUUCGGGAAACCGGAGCUAAUACCGGAUAACAUUUAGAACCGCAUGGUUCUAAAGUGAAAGAUGGUUUUGCUAUCACUUAUAGAUGGACCCGCGCCGUAUUAGCUAGUUGGUAAGGUAACGGCUUACCAAGGCGACGAUACGUAGCCGACCUGAGAGGGUGAUCGGCCACACUGGAACUGAGACACGGUCCAGACUCCUGCGGGAGGCAGCAGUAGGGAAUCUUCCGCAAUGGGCGAAAGCCUGACGGAGCAACGCCGCGUGAGUGAUGAAGGGUUUCGGCUCGUAAAACUCUGUUAUUAGGGAAGAACAAAUGUGUAAGUAACUGUGCACAUCUUGACGGUACCUAAUCAAAAAGCCACGGCUAACUACGUG
This 496-nucleotide ribosomal RNA is filed under the name uncultured bacterium. Its description in RNAcentral is "partial 16S ribosomal RNA". It matches the Rfam family "Bacterial small subunit ribosomal RNA", at positions 28 to 507 of the family's 1533-position model. The record is from RNAcentral.